RNAcentral lists this transfer RNA (74 nucleotides) under Prosthecobacter sp. RNAcentral's name for it is "tRNA-Gln". It matches the Rfam family "tRNA". From Rfam's summary of the family: Transfer RNA (tRNA) molecules are approximately 80 nucleotides in length. Their secondary structure includes four short double-helical elements and three loops (D, anti-codon, and T loops). Lineage: Bacteria; Pseudomonadati; Verrucomicrobiota; Verrucomicrobiia; Verrucomicrobiales; Verrucomicrobiaceae. The record is from RNAcentral.
UGCCUCAUGGUGUAAUGGUAACACAGCAGAUUCUGAAUCUGUCAUUCAAGGUUCGAGUCCUUGUGAGGCAACCA